Molecule: long non-coding RNA, 1650 nt
Filed under: Fukomys damarensis (Damara mole-rat)
Lineage: Eukaryota; Metazoa; Chordata; Mammalia; Rodentia; Bathyergidae
Description: lncRNA (ENSFDAG00000026628.1)
Source: RNAcentral
GAGGGAAAGAGGCUCCCUAGAAGUCUUAAGACAGGUGGAGCAGAGCUGAGACCUGGCACAGAGCAGGGCCUGGAACCUGGAGCUGCUUCCCCAAGGGACGCUGCAGGCAGAGCCCUGGACAGUGAUACACGCCAGCUCUGUCCUUCUGGCUGCAGACUAAAGUCGUUCUUUGUUUACUCUGAGAAGCAGGUGGUCCAUGGUGCAGAUCUCACGGCAUUCAGGUCCCUGUGACCGGAAGAGCACUGUCCGGAGGGAAGCGAUGGGUGUCUGGGCGGAUCUUUCUGCACUGGACCCAGAGUCACGGAGUGGGAGGCUGGCCCACCCCAGAGCUCACCCCAGACCCCUGCCUGGCUCCUACCAGGGGCCAGCGCUUCCCGGAGACCCUGCCCAGCAGCCACUCCCCAGGGUGCUGUGUGCAGAUGGCUGACUCUGGAGAGCUCAGGGAUCCUCCCGCCUGCAGCAUCCACCGGCUUGGGGAGACUCUCGGGAAUCCUGCAGCAAGGCCUGUUUCCCCUCUGUAACGCAAUGGUCUUCAGAGCUAAUUCACCCUACAAGCUUUCUACACGGGACACCACUUGACGGGGGAGAAGCCAGGGUUCCAGGAUCUGCACUGCAACGCACUUCGCCAUGGCAAGGGUUCUGGGCUAGGUGGGGGAUGUUUGCACAACGAUACGUCUCAUCCCGUGACCUGCAACACCUCCCGGGGUUCCAGCGGUCAAACUCCUAAGGCGAAUUUUAACGGAAGGCCUCUCCUCACCGGGCUGUGUCCCGCUGCUCCUGUCCUCUCCCACCCCGGCCCUCUGCACCUUCCCCCGCUGAGCGGCCUGGGCAUCGCCUGUACCGCAGGCCCGCGGUGAGUCUAACCCUGUUCGUCACGGACGCCGUGGGCAGAGCCCUCUCAGCCCCGGUUCCGGCUCCAGCUGGGCAGCGCUCAGGAAGCCCGCACAGGCUGAGGUCUGGGAGUCAGGGCAAAGCUCAGAGGCCCCGGCUGCCCUGUUGGCGGGGCUGGAGGAGGAAGCGCCGUCUGUGUUGGGUGCCUGGACGACCACCAGCCGGCCUCUGCCCACUGCUCUGCCUUCUGCCGGACUGGGCCGCGCUGCUUUCCGCAGAGAUCCAUGCUCAGGGUGUGGGAGCCGCGGGCUUCGGCUGCCGGAGGAGGCAGCGCAGCUGUGUUCCCGUGAAACUGAUUUCCACAGUGGGCAGCAGGCAGGACCCGGCCGUCCACCUCGGGGACCACGUGGGACUCCCCAGUGCGCGUCCCCCGGGCGGCAAUGCCAGUCCAGGUGUGCCGGUCACCACAGGAGGAAAGAACUCAGAAGCCCUCUGCAAUUCCUGGGUGCUGAUAUACACCACAGGCUGAUCGCUUCAGUAACAAAGCCAGGACUAGGCCAGGCGACCCUGCACAGCUGCUGCGGACUCAGGAUGAAUGAGGCCCUUGUAGUGCAAAUUCUCGCAAUUUUGGUAGGAGGCUUAGCAGCUUUAGUAGCUCCUUUCUGUCAAUGGGAACUUUUUGCUUCAACAGACAGAGCUGAUGCUGUGAGUACAGAAAUCCUGUGGGAGGGGCGGGCAAGAUGUCCGCAGCAGUGUCCAUGCACUCCAGGCCACAGUCCUCCUGUAAUCUUGCUGUCUCCCACCUGGCUGUUUUUCUAG